UGAUUUUCUGUUACAGAACUGGGAUUAUUUAUUUAUUUCGGUACCAACGAAUCUAUUUUUCACUCAAUGGAGAUUUUCCAUUUUUGGCCCACAGCAAUAUCCGGAGAGAGAGAGAGAGAUUCCUGUAGAAUACAAGACAAGACUAUCACAAUGAGCUGAAAUGUUGGGUCUGUGAAAGUAAUGAGAAGCACAGUGGAAAUAAGUUUCUGAAGGAUGGAAGAGGCUGGAGGCUGGCUAGUGGGAGAAGGUUCCCAGACACGUGAGAGACCCAGCAACAGAUUAAAAUCAUCCUUACCUGACAAGAGGACUCAGUGAAUCAAUGUUGUGCAGGAAGCAUGGCACCAGCGUCUGCUUUGGGUGAGGACCUCCAGCUGCUUCCACUCAUGGUGGAAGGCAAAGGAAAACUGGCUGUGCAGAGAUCAUAUGGUGAGAGAGGAAGCAGGAAAGGAGAGGUGCCAGGUGCUUUUUAACAUCCAGCUCUGGUGGGAGCUAAUAGAGCGAGAACUCACUCGCCAUCCCCCAUCCUAGGGAGUGCAUUAAUCUGUUUAUAAGGGAUUUGCCCCCCAUGACCCAAAAACCUCCCAUUAAGUCCCAUCUCCAAUACUGGGGAUCAAAUUUCAACAUAAGAUUUGGAGGGGUAAAUAAACCAAAUUAUAACAGUUUAUUUCUUGAUUUUGU
This 678-nucleotide long non-coding RNA is filed under the name Homo sapiens (human). RNAcentral describes it as "HSALNT0382828". The record is from RNAcentral. Lineage: Eukaryota; Metazoa; Chordata; Mammalia; Primates; Hominidae.